UACGUAGGGGGCAAGCGUUGUCCGGAUUUAUUGGGCGUAAAGAGCGUGUAGGCGGCCACACAGGUCUGCUGUGAAAACUCGAGGCUCAACCUCGAGCUGUCGGUGGAAACCGUGUGGCUAGAGUCCGGAAGAGGAGAGUGGAAUUCCCGGUGUAGCGGUGAAAUGCGCAGAUAUCGGGAAGAACACCCGUGGCUAAGGCGGCUCUCUAGUACGUGACUGACGCUGAGACGCGAAAGCGUGGGGAGCGAACAGG
RNAcentral lists this ribosomal RNA (253 nucleotides) under uncultured bacterium. RNAcentral describes it as "partial 16S ribosomal RNA". It matches the Rfam family "Bacterial small subunit ribosomal RNA", at positions 524 to 776 of the family's 1533-position model. The record is from RNAcentral.